Molecule: long non-coding RNA, 283 nt
Filed under: Mytilus galloprovincialis (Mediterranean mussel)
Lineage: Eukaryota; Metazoa; Mollusca; Bivalvia; Mytilida; Mytilidae
Source: RNAcentral
UACAUGUUGUCUUGUGCUGAGAUUAUAGCCAGGCGACAAGAUGCAGAAUAUUCUCAUGUUUUUGCAGAAACGAUAAUACAAAUCAAAAUUUGACGUACUUUCUUGCACACUGAACAAAACUAUGAAGUGGGAGGGCAUAAUUUUUACCUUUCUUUUAAUUUAUAGCAGCUCUUUUGGGUGCAUCUUCUUCCUCACGCCCCUCAUUCCAUUUGUUUACUUUCAACCACGUUUGGGAAGAUGGUUGAUGGAUCAGAUGAUAUGGUUAUGGCAGCUGUAUGCUGUG